RNAcentral lists this ribosomal RNA (447 nucleotides) under uncultured bacterium. Its description in RNAcentral is "bacterial SSU rRNA". It matches the Rfam family "Bacterial small subunit ribosomal RNA", at positions 330 to 792 of the family's 1533-position model. The record is from RNAcentral.
ACCAGACUCCUACGGGAGGCAGCAGUGGGGAAUAUUGGGCAAUGGGCGCAAGCCUGACCCAGCAACGCCGCGUGAAGGAAGAAGGCUUUCGGGUUGUAAACUUCUUUUAAGAGGGAAGAGUAGAAGACGGUACCUCUUGAAUAAGCCACGGCUAACUACGUGCCAGCAGCCGCGGUAAUACGUAGGCGGCAAGCGUUGUCCGGAUUUACUGGGUGUAAAGGGCGUGUAGCCGGGCCGGCAAGUCAGAUGUGAAAUUCCAAGGCUCAACCUUGGAACUGCAUUUGAAACUGAUGGUCUUGAGUAUCGGAGAGGCAGGCGGAAUUCCUAGUGUAGCGGUGAAAUGCGUAGAUAUUAGGAGGAACACCAGUGGCGAAGGCGGCCUGCUGGACGACAACUGACGGUGAGGCGCGAAAGCGUGGGGAGCAAACAGGAUUAGAUACCCCCGUA